UGCUAGGGGAUUCCUGCCUCUCUGGA
This 26-nucleotide non-coding RNA is filed under the name Homo sapiens (human). The record is from RNAcentral. Lineage: Eukaryota; Metazoa; Chordata; Mammalia; Primates; Hominidae.